Molecule: long non-coding RNA, 2065 nt
Organism: Hypanus sabinus (Atlantic stingray)
Lineage: Eukaryota; Metazoa; Chordata; Chondrichthyes; Myliobatiformes; Dasyatidae
Exons: 3
Source: RefSeq, a predicted model, not a curated record
GCUAGUUGCCCUUGAGAAGGUGGUGACGAGCUGCAGUCCCAGAGGUGUCGGUACACCCACGGUGCUGUCAGGGAGGAAAUUCCAUGAUUUUGACCCAGCGACGAUGAAAGAACAGUGAUAUGUUUCCAAGUCAGGAUGGAAGUCUGCCACUGGGACCACCCUACCAGCUUGGCUGACGUCCCCGGGGCCUGUGCUGCUCCGGAAACAUGUGAGGAGCAAUAAAUACUCCCCGCUGGUCAAGAGGGUUCACCUUCUACAUGCGAACCCCCAGUAUGCCUACGUGGUCUUACCUGAUGGGCGGGAGGACACGGUCUCUGUCCGCGAGCUGGCACCCACAGGAGCAGCAGACCACUACCCCGAAUACUCCACGCCACAUGAGGCACAGAGAAAAUAGAGAACAUCUCUUCAUCUUCCACUCAGGUGGCCUACAACCCAGCGCAGCGCAUCGCAGGAAAAGCCCGCCCCCCCCGCCAUUCCGCACAUCUGCAAGGAGCUCUGCCACCAGAAAGCAACAUCCAUCAUCAAGGACCCACUCCAUCCGUUCUCUUCUCACUGCUGGCAUCGAGAAGGAGGUACAGGAGCCUCAGGCCCCACACCAGCAGGUUCAGGAACAGUUCUUACCCCUCAGCCAUCAGAGUGGAUAACUUCACUCACCUCAACUCCGAACUGAUUCCACAACUCAUGGAGUCACUUUCAAGGACUUGACAACGGAUGUUCUCAAUAUCUAUUUAUUAGCACAAUUUGUCUUUUUUUGCACAUUGGUUGUUUAUCAGUCUUUGUUUAUGUAAAGGCUUUCAUAAAUUCCACUGUAUUAUUUUCCUGCGAAUGCCCACAAGAAAAUGAAUCUCCAGGUAGCAUAUGGCUACAUAAAUGUCCUAAACCAGAUUGGAUACCCCACUGACCCCAACUCUGAACUGUUUCUAAACCUACGGACUCACUCGCUCAUUAUGUAUCUAUCUGUCUAUUUAUAUAUGUAUCUGCUUAUUUAUUUAUUUAUUUAUUUAUUUAUUGUAUUUUCACAGUUUGUCUUCUUUUGCACGUUGGUUGUAUCUUUGUGUGUGGCUUUUCAUUGAUUCCAUUGUAUUUCUUUGUUCUACGGCGAACGCCCGCAGGAAAAUGAAUCUUAAGGUGACAGAUCCGUGUUUUGAUCGUGACUUGAGGAACUCAGUGGAGUGUGAUAGGGGAUCUUAGCGUGAAAAGUCAACUGUUUAUUCAUUUCACGGGAACAUAGAAAACCUACAGCACUUUCUUGCUGGCGUUUGAUGUUUAUUUUUAAAAGCUUUUUGUAUGAUGCAUGGGUUGUACUCCUAAUGGUUUUUCUCCCCCCCCCCACUUUUUUGCUUCGUAGGGGUUUUUUUAUUCACAAAAUUUUCAAUCUUUAAGAUAAUCUCUUUUUUUUCCUUGAGGCAUUGUAAGUGUUGUUCCUUCUAUGUACUUGUGUUAUUUUGGAAUAAUAUAAUAAUAAUAAAAAGAUUUGAAAAGAAAACCUACAGCACAAUACAGGCCCUCCAGCCCACAAAGCUGUGCCUGCUUAAUAUUUUGUCUCCUUGCCCGGUUCCGCCCAUCGCCUACCUGCCUCUCUCAUCCCCCCCCCCCCUCACUUCGAUAUACUGCCUCCCUAUCGUCCCUGCACCCUCAUGCCCCUGAGGUAGGGUCUUGCCUUGAAAUGCCAACCCCACCCUCAGCCUCCCUGCUCCCUUGGUGAGAGGCCCACUCAGGCGCCUACCUUCCACCGAGUGUCUCCUUCAGCCACAGAACUCCAGCCUUCCUGGAGUCCAGCACGUAAAAGAACGCAGUGGAAUUGAAAUUGGUCUAUUAUUAUCACAUUAUCUAAAUACAGUGAAGAGCUUGUCUCGGCUACUGCUCAUGCAGAUCAGGUCAUUACACAGCACACAGGGUAAAACAUCGGCAAUCCAGAAUAAAGUGUAAAAACUACCGAUAAAGAGCAGUCACUAAAUGAUAGUGUAAAAUCAUAACAAAGUAGAUUGUGAGGCCAAAAUUCUAUCUUAUCACACGAGAGUCUGACAACAGUGUUGUAGAAGCUGCCUUUGCCUGUGGUGGCAUA